GGUCCUAGUGCAGACUUCAACAAGAGACCAAGGAGAAGAAGUUAAAGAUGGAGGUAUCAGCAGUCAAGCUUGGGGUCCCAAUGUCAUCCAGUUAAAUGGACAAAUUAAUUAAUAAAUCAUCUGUUAUGUAAGCGAGGAAUACAUUUAACAAAAUGUAUGCCCAUCCUCAGAGUUGAAGUUAGAAAGAGAAGCAAACAGUAGGCAUGAAGAAGAAAAAGAAAAGCUAAAGGGAAAAUAUAGAGUUAAGAAGACAUUGAAGGAAUCUGAAGAGAAGAUAAAGGAGAAGGACUCAACUCUGGAGGAGAUGAAGAAGACAUUGAAUCUGAAGAGAAGAUAAAAGAGAAGGGCUCAACUCUGGGGGAGAUGAAGAAGACAGAAGAGAAGCAUCUAAAGGAAAAAGACAGAAAAGUAAACUUGCUCAACAGUUGAGCGAUUUGAAGUUUGAAAUGGAGAAACUGAAAACAAAAACCUCAGUCCUGAAGACCGGU
This is a long non-coding RNA of Esox lucius (northern pike), 488 nucleotides long. Lineage: Eukaryota; Metazoa; Chordata; Actinopteri; Esociformes; Esocidae. The record is from Ensembl.